AUAUUGGACAAUGGGCGAAAGCUUGAUCCAGCCAUGCCGCGUGUGUGAAGAAGGUCUUCGGAUUGUAAAGCACUUUAAGUUGGGAGGAAGGGUUGUAGGUCACUACCUCGCAAUUUUGACGUUACCAACAGGAUAAGCACCUUAUAACUUCGUGCCAUCAGCCGCGGUAAUACGAAGGGUGCCAGCGUUAAUCGGAAUUACUGGGCGUAAAGCGCGCGUAGGUGGUUCGUUAAGUUGGAAGUGAAAGCCCCGGGCUUAACCUGGGGAUUGCUUUCAAAACUGACGAGCUAGAGUACGGUAGAGGGUAGUGGAAUUACCUGUGUAGCGGUGGAAUGCGUAGAUAUAGGAAGGAACAUCAGUGGCGAAGGCGACUACCUGGACUGAUACUGACACUGAGGUGCGAAAGCGUGGGGAGCAAACAGG
RNAcentral lists this ribosomal RNA (423 nucleotides) under uncultured bacterium. RNAcentral's name for it is "partial 16S ribosomal RNA". It matches the Rfam family "Bacterial small subunit ribosomal RNA", at positions 361 to 776 of the family's 1533-position model. The record is from RNAcentral.